Molecule: long non-coding RNA, 1336 nt
Organism: Peromyscus eremicus (cactus mouse)
Lineage: Eukaryota; Metazoa; Chordata; Mammalia; Rodentia; Cricetidae
Exons: 3
Source: RefSeq, a predicted model, not a curated record
UCGAACGCUCGCGGGCCGGAAAGACCGGGCAACCUUCGUGACUGACGCCGCCCGCGCCAUAUUGACUGAGGGCAGUUGUCCGCUAUUUCCGUUCCUCCUCUGCGAGGGGCGGCUAUCAUCUGAGACGCUGAGGUUUAACUCUUGCCCAGCUGUUCCCAGAGAAGCUCUGAUUUGAAUAAAAGCAAGCACGUGUGAAUGGACUGAAAAAGGCAGCACGUCAUGCCCUGCACAGAAGGUUUCUCACAACUAUGAAGAGCUAACACAAGGCCCAAAUGAGUUCACUAGUGAGUUCUACCAAAUAUUUAAGGAAAAAAUACCAGUUCCCUGCAGGUUAUUACAGAAGAGAAAAGCAGAUGAAAUGUGUUCUAACCAAUUUCAAAAUGCUAGCAUCAUGCUAGGAAAACUAUAGACCAUUAUUUCUAAUGAACAUUCAUGCAAAAAUCAACAGAAUAUUAGUAAUCAUGUCCAACAAGCUUUUAAAAAAUGACCAUUAGCAGAUGAGGUUGAUUUCAGGUACACAAAGGUGACUCAACAUUACAAAAACACCAAAUAUCAACAGGUAAAGAAAGAGAAAUCAUAUGACAGUAUCAGUAAUAAAGAACUCGUUCAUGAAGAAAACUUUUGUCAAACUAGGAGCAGGGAACUUGAACAUCUACACACACACACACACACACACACACACACACACACACACACACAAAUCCACAGGACUAGGUGUGGAGGCAAGAGUUCCAGGACUACAAAGAGUUUCAAGCCAGCUAGGGCUGCAUAGUAAAACCCUGUCUAUUAAAUAAAAAAAGUUUAUUUUUUUAAAUCCACAGUAACAAACUAGGUAGUUUUCCAUAAAAUUAAGAACAAAACAAAGAGGCCAGCCUGGUCUACAGCACAAGAUCCAGGACAGGCACCAAAACUACACAGAAAAACCCUGUCUCAAAAAAAGGGGGGAAAAAAAAAGCCUCGAUUCUGUUUUCACAAGAUGAUGCCUUUUAGCACUUAUACAGUACCUGGCUAGUAAGUUUCAGGUGUGAUAAUACAGUGUGAUCAGGUUCUGGGUGUGUAGUUUUUGGCUAGUAGCGCAUGACUGAUCUGAGUGACAUGGUUUUCUAUAAAGUUUAAAAUGAUAAAUGGCCGGGCGGUGGCGCAUGCCUUUAGUCCCAGCACUCCGAAGGCAGAAGCAGGCGGAUCUCUUUGAGUUCGAGGCCAAUCUGGGCUACAGCGUGAGAGUUUCAGGAAAGGUGCAAAGCUACACAGAAAAACCCUGUCUCAAAAAAAUGAAAGAAAGUCGGGCGGUGGUGGCGCACGCCUUUAAUCCCAGCACUCGGGAGGCAGAGCCAGG